Molecule: long non-coding RNA, 1350 nt
Filed under: Coturnix japonica (Japanese quail)
Lineage: Eukaryota; Metazoa; Chordata; Aves; Galliformes; Phasianidae
Description: lncRNA (ENSCJPG00005019630.1)
Source: RNAcentral
CUCCAUUCCAUCUGGUGCAGAAGUUGCAUGGAUCCAAUGCAAACACUGUGGCCUGGACAUUAACAAACUCUCCCCAGUGGCAGCCUCAUAGUGUCAGUAAAUCCAUUAUGUUUCUUACAGGAAAGUAAGGGUUGUAAUGUUGUAAUGAUAGAUUAUGAUAUGAAGUGUGUGCUGUCAUUCUAUUCGUCAUUUUUUUAAGACACGAACAGGUCUUCCUUCCAAUCUUCAUCACUCUGGACCAAGGGUUGUAGAACCUGCUUUGUGAGAGUUUGUGUGAAAGGGAGGCAGAUGUUGCUAUGGAUGCGGACAGCAAAACAGUCGCCAUGCAGGCUGAGGAAAGCAAAGAAUGAACAGAGAAGGCAGUGUGCUAAAGUCUGCCUGGAAGUUGUAAGCACUGGAGACUGAUGAUCCUGCUGAUACCACAACCACCCACUGCCAUCGUGAACCCAGAAAGUGCAGUGCAAUGUUCUGCAGCACAGCUGGCUGAGCUCAGUGCAGGGCCACCAACACCACACUGAGCUCAGACAUGGUCACAACAGGAGGAGAGAUGGCAUCAUGGCAGCACAGCAACCCCUUGGAGGCAACCAUGGAGGAGAUAGUUCCUGGCUCUUCCCAGAACAGAUCUGCUCCAGUACAUUUCCUGAUGUUACUCAAGAAUGCAGCAGACCUUCUAUUCUUUAAGCUCAGCCACAAGCAGGAACUUGUCAGCAUUAUGAGUCCUCAGGUACAUCUCUUUGGUUGCACAAGCUUCUUUCUGGUGUCAUUCUGAGAAAACAACAUUCCCUUUCCCACAGUUCCCCCUUUCUGUUUACACAAUUGUCUCUUUUGAAGACACAUCAUCCCAAUCACCACCAUCUCCUACAUCUUCCCUUACAGCCUAUGCCUUGUCUGAAUAUAGUGGUAGCCCUACAGCAUCUGCUUAGAUGGGAUGGUUUUGAUUAAAUGCUGGACCAACCCUCUAACACAGGGGAUAAUACAACAGCUGGCUGCUGUCAGAACUCCUGCUAUUACAAUUAAAGAUGUAAGUACUGAUACCAGCACUCCCUUCCAUUUACUGAACCACCUAGUAAGUGAAGUAAGUGCCCAGGCUAUGGUGCAAUUUGGGGCUGUAUUAUUGGGUAUAAAGGUGAAAUAGUGAAUGCCCAUCAUUUACACAUACUUGACCCUUUUCAGCCAACAUCAUGUCUAACACUAUCCUAUUUUCCCAUGUCAUCCUACCAGUGGCACUUAAUAGUUAGGCAAUCCCUUCUAUAAUUUACGAAGCCCUGCUGAUUAUGGUAAAUAUAAUUGAUCCAGGCUACAUUCUUAUUAAUAGUUAUCUACCAAAAUAGAGAAGACUCAAACCUGGCU